UGGCUCAAAUGGUAGAGCGUUCGACUCAAAUACCAAAGGUCGUGGGUUCGAAUCCCAG
RNAcentral lists this transfer RNA (58 nucleotides) under Schistocephalus solidus. It matches the Rfam family "tRNA", at positions 8 to 63 of the family's 71-position model. Rfam says of the family: Transfer RNA (tRNA) molecules are approximately 80 nucleotides in length. Their secondary structure includes four short double-helical elements and three loops (D, anti-codon, and T loops). The record is from Rfam by way of RNAcentral. Lineage: Eukaryota; Metazoa; Platyhelminthes; Cestoda; Diphyllobothriidea; Diphyllobothriidae.